RNAcentral lists this ribosomal RNA (425 nucleotides) under uncultured bacterium. RNAcentral describes it as "partial 16S ribosomal RNA". It matches the Rfam family "Bacterial small subunit ribosomal RNA", at positions 354 to 796 of the family's 1533-position model. The record is from RNAcentral.
GUGGGGAAUCUUGCGCAAUGGGCGAAAGCCUGACGCAGCCAUGCCGCGUGAAUGAUGAAGGUCUUAGGAUUGUAAAAUUCUUUCACCGGGGACGAUAAUGACGGUACCCGGAGAAGAAGCUCCGGCUAACUUCGUGCCAGCAGCCGCGGUAAUACGAAGGGGGCUAGCGUUGCUCGGAAUUACUGGACGUAAAGGGCGCGUAGGCGGACAGCUUAGUCAGAGGUGAAAGCCCAGGGCUCAACCUUGGAAUUGCCUUUGAUACUGGCUGUCUUGAGUUUGGGAGAGGUGAGUGGAACUCCGAGUGUAGAGGUGAAAUUCGUAGAUAUUCGGAAGAACACCAGUGGCGAAGGCGACUCACUGGCCCAAUACUGACGCUGAGGCGCGAAAGCGUGGGGAGCAAACAGGAUUAGAUACCCCAGUAGUCC